GACGAACGCUGGCGGCGUGCUUAACACAUGCAAGUCGAACGGAAAGGCCCUGCUUUUGUGGGGUGCUCGAGUGGCGAACGGGUGAGUAACACGUGAGUAACCUGCCCUUGACUUUGGGAUAACUUCAGGAAACUGGGGCUAAUACCGGAUAGGAGCUCCUGCUGCAUGGUGGGGGUUGGAAAGUUUCGGCGGUUGGGGAUGGACUCGCGGCUUAUCAGCUUGUUGGUGGGGUAGUGGCUUACCAAGGCUUUGACGGGUAGCCGGCCUGAGAGGAUGACCGGCCACAUUGGGACUGAGAUACGGCCCAGACUCCUACGGGAGGCAGCAGUGGGGAAUAUUGCACAAUGGGCGGAAGCCUGAUGCAGCAACGCCGCGUGCGGGAUGACGGCCUUCGGGUUGUAAACCGCUUUCGCCUGUGACGAAGCGUGAGUGACGGUAAUGGGUAAAGAAGCACCGGCUAACUACGUGCCAGCAGCCGCGGUGAUACGUAGGGUGCGAGCGUUGUCCGGAUUUAUUGGGCGUAAAGGGCUCGUAGGUGGUCGAUCGCGUCGGAAGUGUAAUCUUGGGGCUUAACCCUGAGCGUGCUUUCGAUACGGGUUGACUUGAGGAAGGUAGGGGAGAAUGGAAUUCCUGGUGGAGCGGUGGAAUGCGCAGAUAUCAGGAGGAACACCAGUGGCGAAGGCGGUUCUCUGGGCCUUUCCUGACGCUGAGGAGCGAAAGCGUGGGGAGCGAACAGGCUUAGAUACCCUGGUAGUCCACGCUGUAAACGGUGGGUACUAGGUGUGGGGUCCAUUCCACGGGUUCCGUGCCGUAGCUAACGCUUUAAGUACCCCGCCUGGGGAGUACGGCCGCAAGGCUAAAACUCAAAGGAAUUGACGGGGCCCCGCACAAGCGGCGGAGCAUGCGGAUUAAUUCGAUGCAACGCGUAGAACCUUACCUGGGUUUGACAUGGAUCGGGAGUGCUCAGAGAUGGGUGUGCCUCUUUUGGGGUCGGUUCACAGGUGGUGCAUGGCUGUCGUCAGCUCGUGUCGUGAGAUGUUGGGUUAAGUCCCGCAACGAGCGCAACCCUUGUUCACUGUUGCCAGCACGUUAUGGUGGGGACUCAGUGGAGACCGCCGGGGUCAACUCGGAGGAAGGUGGGGAUGACGUCAAGUCAUCAUGCCCCUUAUGUCCAGGGCUUCACGCAUGCUACAAUGGCUGGUACAGAGAGUGGCGAGCCUGUGAGGGUGAGCGAAUCUCGGAAAGCCGGUCUCAGUUCGGAUUGGGGUCUGCAACUCGACCUCAUGAAGUCGGAGUCGCUAGUAAUCGCAGAUCAGCAACGCUGCGGUGAAUACGUUCCCGGGGCUUGUACACACCGCCCGUCAAGUCAUGAAAGUUGGUAACACCCGAAGCCGGUGGCCUAACCGUUGUGGGGGAGCCGUCGAAGGUGGGACUGGUGAUUAGGACU
Molecule: ribosomal RNA, 1447 nt
Filed under: uncultured bacterium
Lineage: Bacteria
Description: partial 16S rRNA
Rfam family: Bacterial small subunit ribosomal RNA
Source: RNAcentral